CACGGUUCAGAUCCGAGCUCUCUUUUCUCUAUCUCUCUGUCCCUUAUCUCUUCCAUAAGAAGAAGAAGAGAUCUUUCACUGUCUUCUCCGUUCUCCGUUCUCCCUUGCAGCCUUCAGAGAUUCGGAUCAGUUCAAUCUAAAGUGGUGUUAAGGUUUCUCAACUAUCCACUAUGGAUCAGGCAGAACUGUCUAUGGAGCAGGUGUUGAAAAGGGACAUUCCAUGGGAGACUUACAUGACAACUAAGCUCAUCUCAGCCACAGGUCUCCAGCUCUUGAGGCGCUUUGAUAAAAAACCUGAAAGUGCUAGGGCACAGUUGCUCGAU
This is a long non-coding RNA of Raphanus sativus (radish), 323 nucleotides long. RefSeq lists it as uncharacterized. The record is from RefSeq and is a predicted model, not a curated record. The transcript has 3 exons. Lineage: Eukaryota; Viridiplantae; Streptophyta; Magnoliopsida; Brassicales; Brassicaceae.